GAUGAAGAACGCAGCGAAUUGCGAUAAGUAAUGUGAAUUGCAGAAUUCAGUGAAUCAUCGAAUCUUUGAACGCACCUUGCGCCCUUUGGCUAUUCCAGAGGGCAUGCCUGUUUGAGUAUCAUGAACACCUCAACUCUCAUGGUUCUGCCAUGAUGAGCUUGGACUUUGGAGGUCUUGCUGGCCCCUGUGGUCAGCUCCUCUCAAAUGGAUCAGCUUGCCAGUGUUUGGUGGCAUCACAGGUGUGAUAACUAUCUACGCUUGUGGUUUUCCACCAGGUAACCUUCAGUGAUGGAGGUUCGCUGGAGCUCAUAAACGUCUCUCCUCAGCGAGGACAGCUUCUUGAAUGUUUGAUCUCAAAUCAGGUAGGGCUACCCGCUGAACUUAAGCAUAUCAAUAAGCGGAGGA
Molecule: unclassified non-coding RNA, 405 nt
Filed under: soil metagenome
Description: partial contains 5.8S ribosomal RNA, internal transcribed spacer 2, and large subunit ribosomal RNA
Rfam family: 5.8S ribosomal RNA (bases 1-121)
Source: RNAcentral